CCUCCGCCCACCCUAGCGAAGUCACGGUCUGCGGCGCCUCUCGGGGCUCGUCUUCCCCGUAUCCUUCCCCGCUUCUCUCGUUCCCAGACUUCCGUCGGUGGGUCGGGCCCCGGGGCCCCCUCUUCGCGCCUGUUGCUGCGGCAGACCUGCGCACUCUCAGUGCCCCCUCGCAAGGCUACCACAGUGCCAGGGGAGGGGCGGGGGGCUUCGGGUAGGCACUGCCGAGUGCCCUCGGAGCCUGCGCUGGUCCGUGGCGCCAGCGACCGGGAGGUGGGUGGACAGAGGGGGAGGUUUUGCCAACGCCGGGAUCAAGAUCCGGGUUCCCCCCACAAAACAAUCUUGGGGGUGGGCGGAGCCUCAGACAGAAUCUGCCUCUCCUCCUCGCUCCGGAGAAGUCUCCUCCUCCUCGCCUUGCGCAACAGGCAGAGUGACUGCGUCUGUUUUUGUGACCCGUGAGGCUCCAGUGAGCUGGCCAGGGCUGCCCCGUGGUGCUGUGUCCUGACCUACGUCCGCCCGUCAAGAAGAUCACCCAAGAAGAGGUCAAAAUGAUGUUAAGUUUGCUGGAGGAGGUGCGUGUUGCCGUCCUACCUGGGCCAGCCCCAGUCUCAGCCAGGCUCCCGUUUUCACUAUGUCUGUAUGGGUAGGCGUCUUCCUGCCUGGCUGUCUCUCUAGGGGCCAAGCUGGAGGUCCCUCUUGUGGAAGACAGGUAGAUGUGGAAUGUUCAGGCUAGAGAGCUCUUAGCACCAUCCGGUCUGAUCUCUUUUUCCAUAGGGGGAAUCUGGGUCAGGUCCCACAGUGGGUCAUGGUAAGCUCUUGUCUGGUUCCUUGGAGAACUAGGGGAUGGAGGGGAUUUCCCGGAGUGGCCUUGCUUCUCUUUGACCCCUAGCUUCUCCCACGUGUCUGGGAGACCCCAGCAGCCAGGAACCCUGUUCCCCAAUGGAUGGGGGUCCUUCUGUAGAGAGAGCGGGACCUGAACACGGCAGCCUGCAUUGGUCAGUCCCUGGUGAAACAAAACAGUGUUCUGUUGGAGGAGAACAGCAAGCUGGAAGCCAUGCUGGAUUCAGCCAAGGAGGAGGUACCUGGGUGGGGAGGAGCAGGGAGGGGUGAAUCUCAGGCCUGCUGCCAACCCACUGUGCCAGGGUCUGUGCCUGCCUCUGCCCGCACCUGACCCUGGACUCCUCUUCCCUUGCCAGAUUUUACAUCUCAG
RNAcentral lists this long non-coding RNA (1207 nucleotides) under Bos indicus x Bos taurus (hybrid cattle). Its description in RNAcentral is "lncRNA (ENSBIXG00005028697.1)". The record is from RNAcentral. Lineage: Eukaryota; Metazoa; Chordata; Mammalia; Artiodactyla; Bovidae.